GUGUUGCUUUAGCAGCACAUAUACAAAAAUUGGAAUGAUACAGAGAUUAGCAUGAUGCAUGACCAAGGAGGACAUGCAAGUUAUGAAAUGUUUUAUAUUUUU
Molecule: small nuclear RNA, 102 nt
Organism: Macaca mulatta (Rhesus monkey)
Lineage: Eukaryota; Metazoa; Chordata; Mammalia; Primates; Cercopithecidae
Source: Ensembl